This 335-nucleotide long non-coding RNA is filed under the name Phaseolus vulgaris (common bean). RNAcentral's name for it is "long non-coding RNA (PVUL_LNC001151)". The record is from RNAcentral. Lineage: Eukaryota; Viridiplantae; Streptophyta; Magnoliopsida; Fabales; Fabaceae.
GAAGAUGAAGAUUUGGGAAGUAGGAGAGAAAGAAUUUUCUCUCUCUCUACUGGGAAGUGUUCGAGCCCGGGUAUUUGACCGAUUCUUGUUUGACACCCCAUUUACCAAAAAUGGAAAGAAUCAAGGUGGAUUGGAAGAUCAAUGGAAGAGACGCACUGUUCUUCAGACUGAGGGUUCCUUUCCAGCUUUAGUAAAUAGACUAUUGGUAAUCAAAUCCGAGACCCUCGAAUUCUCUCCUGUAGAAAAUGCAUGGAUAUUUUUAAAAGACCCCAAAUUAUCACAUUUUUCUGAGACGUCAGAGCAAAUGCCUAUAUAUGCAAAAUUUACGAAUGAGC